RNAcentral lists this long non-coding RNA (791 nucleotides) under Lathyrus oleraceus (garden pea). RNAcentral's name for it is "Pisum sativum (pea) long non-coding RNA (PSAT_LNC033158)". The record is from RNAcentral. Lineage: Eukaryota; Viridiplantae; Streptophyta; Magnoliopsida; Fabales; Fabaceae.
AAUAAUUAACAAAAAGAAAAUAUACAAAAAACAAAAAGUUAAAGGAAAAGAGAAAACGCUGGAAUUUAUAGAAGUUCGCUCUAAUGUAGUGACCUACUUCACUCCUUAAGACGUGAUCUUAAGAGUAUUCAACCAUCUUUAUAAGCUUUUAGUAGGUUGAGCUUACGAACCCCCUUACAAAAGGAAAAUGAAGUUUAAAGUUCACUUCAGACCAAACAGUAAACAACGGAUUAGAGCGAUUAGUCUUCCUUCCAAACACGAACUUGAAGCAGUUAAUCCCCAAGCUAAACUGAGAAUGUUUACAUACUUAUCUCAAACCAAAAGUGGAGCUUUUAAUUGGAUAUCCUCUUAACCAAAUUGAAGUUUUACACCAACUGACCUUGAACCGAAUUCAGAUUUUAAAUUAGACUAAUCUCGAAACAAUGUGAAGCUUUUACACAAACUGAGCUUAUGAACCGAGUUGAGAUUUUACACCAGAUUAAUCUCAAAUCAAGUGGAGUUUUUACACAGGCUAAACUCUCAAACUGAAACGACAAUUUAAAAACUAAAUUCUCAAACAAAGCUUUUAACGAGUUUAGUUUUGAACACAAACAAACAAACACUCCCUUAUUGGAAAAUUAUUCAACCAAAAGAGAAAUACUUCUAGGUGAAUUUACAACAUUACCCUUUCCAUAAUACAAAAUUUGUCACCAAACACUAAGACUUUCUCGAAGCAUAAUGGCUAAAUUAUAGUAAGAGAAAGUACAAAAAUUUUUUAGAGAGAGAUAGAAAGAGUGACGAGUGAGAUAGAG